Lepidothrix coronata (blue-crowned manakin) is the source of this 388-nucleotide long non-coding RNA. RefSeq lists it as uncharacterized. The record is from RefSeq and is a predicted model, not a curated record. Lineage: Eukaryota; Metazoa; Chordata; Aves; Passeriformes; Pipridae. The transcript has 3 exons.
CGACCCCUCACCUGGAGGAAGGUUUGGUGCUGCAGGGUGUUGGCUGCCUGCAGAACCGACGUCCCAUGCUCCAUGUCCUGCUCCAGGGCCAGCAGCUGUUUGCCAUUUUCUGGAGCCCUUUAGCAAACUCCAUCUCUGGAAGAAAAAGUUUGGAAGUGAAAAGGCACACGAGACACUGGGAAUUCCCUGGAGGAACCCAAUCUUCUUUUGAAAGAUAAAUCAGGAACUUGAAGAGUGAAGUUCCCACUUCCCUGGCAGUGUUGGUCUCCCCGCAGACUCUUGUAUGAGAUCAGGUCCUUCAUGUACUUGGAGAUGGUUUUGGCGUACUGGAGUGCAGCAUCCACCCCCCCCUCGCAGCGCUGCAGCAUCACGUCCACUUCCUCGGCCG